Molecule: long non-coding RNA, 2354 nt
Organism: Girardinichthys multiradiatus
Lineage: Eukaryota; Metazoa; Chordata; Actinopteri; Cyprinodontiformes; Goodeidae
Exons: 3
Source: RefSeq, a predicted model, not a curated record
UCAUAUUAUGGCCCGGGGUAAAACACAGGCUCAGGUCCCCCUUUACCUGCUUUUUUUGUGCUAAUAUUCUCAACCCGGAGGGCACUGGACAUUAUUUGGUGUGGACAACUUUGAUAUCGUGCAAAAACAAAAAGCCCUACAGGUUCCUGGUGACGUGAAGGAAAGUGACUGAGUGCUGAUUAAGACCAUUAAGAAGAAAACGUGGUCUGAUCCAAAGUGGGAGGGUCCAUUCCAAGUGUUAUUGACAAUUCCUACCGCUGUGAAAAUCCAAGACUACUUAUACAAAGUACACUGUAAAGAGCCCAGGUUAACAGCUAGACCAGUACCAGCGCCAAGAGAUGAGUGUUUUAUCAGAAACAGCGUUUCUGGUGCCAGUACCAGUUUCUGCGUGGUAAUGGGUAAUGUAACAUUUUACAACUGUGAUGUUACAAAGUUUAAACAGUUUAAUGUUAUAACCACUGUGUUCAAUUAUGUGGAGCUUCUUGCAGGUUCCUAUUUUUCUCAUUGUGUCGUGGGCACCGGUUCCAUCCCAGUGGGGACUAUUCCAAUGAGCACGUGUAACACAACUUACUAUUAUCCUUCCCACCAAGCUGGACCAGGGGGAAAAAAUCCAUGAUCUAAAGGGCACUUAUGCAAUAGAUGGAUUUCACUGGAUGUGUGGAACUGCCAUUUAUUUGCGGUUGCCUCUAGGUUGGAGUGGUGUUUGUGUACCUGUUUAUGUCACUGAUCACACUUAUGUCAUUUCAGUUCAACCUUUCCUGAAUAGGAGUAAGAGGGAACUCAUCCGUGUGAAGCCACAUGACGGUGUGUGGGCAUCAGAUGUUCCCGACGAAUUUAAGCAUAGAUCAACAGGAAAUAAGAUUUUGCUAGGUUUAUUCCCAUGGUUGGGAGUAGGAAAGAACAUGCUUAGAAACUAUAGAUUAUUGACUGGGACUGUUUGUUAAUGCAACCACAAAAGCUCUUACAGGACUGUUCACAGAAGUCACAGCUCUUCGAACCAUGGUCUUGCAGAACAGGAUGGUGUUGGACCUGCUAACGGCUUCAUUUGGGGGAGUUUGCGCUCUCCUAAUCGAGACCUGCUGCACCUACAUCCCUGAUAAAACCAACGGCAAAGAUGAACACACAGUGAGCGAUGCUAUAAGCCAAUUAAAUGAAAUUAAAAGGGGUAUGCAGCAGGAUGUCCAUCCAGGCAGGGGAAACUUUUUUUUGUGGCUUACUUCUGGACCGUGGUGGCCACUGCUUUUGAAAAUCAUGACCCCUGUCAUCGCUGUGUUAUUGUUUGCCUUUUUUACUCUGUGUGUUAUUCCCUGUAUCAGAGCAAUGAUAUUAAGGAUGGUUGGAGGAAUUGUUAAUACAAUGUUGUCCCAGGAUUACCAACUUCUUGACGAGGACCAGGACCCAGCAAUUUUGUAGAGUUGCAUCCAGUACAAAAACUCCAAUAUAUAUAAAAGGGUCAAGCCUGAACUGAGCACUGAGUUACUGUAUGCUGCUUAAAGAGUCACCCUGCUUCAAUUUGCGACCAGAAUGGGACAAUAGCAGAAUGGUAAAUGGCCUGUACUUUUAUAGCGUUUUAUCAAGUUUGAGGACCUCAAAGUGUUUUACUCUACAAUCAGUCAUUCACCGAUUCAUUCACGCACUGACAGUGGUGAGCUACAUUAUAGCCACAGAUGCCCUGGGGCAGGCUGACAGAAGUUGGGCUGCCAUGAAAUUGGCGCCAACUGACCAACAUCAGCAGGCAAGGCGGGUGAAGUGUCUUGCCCAAGAAUACAAUGACUGACACGGACAGAACGAGGGUUUGAACUGGGAAACCCACCAGUCACAGGACGGACUCCUACCACCAAAGCCAAAGUCGCUCAGGUGGUACUAGACAGAAUGGAUAAAAAGGUUACAGAAUUGGAUAUGAUCAAUAUGAAAGCAAGGAUCCAUCUAGGUGUGUCAACGUUUCAGGUGGUUAUGAACCACAGCGUACCAAUCUUUAGAUGGCAAUUUCCAGCAGGAUAAUACAUCAUGUCACAAAGCUCAAAUCAUCUCAAACUGGUUUCAUGAACGUGACAGAGUUCUCUGUAUUCCAGUGGAGAUUAGAAACCUGGAUGUACAGCUCACUACUCUACAAGAACUGUUAGAUGUCAUGUUGAUACUGACCAAAAUCUAUGAUGAAUAUUUCUGACACUUUGUUAAAUAUGUGCCACAAAGAAUUAAGGCAGUUAUGAAAGUAAAAGGUGUCUUGAUUAGAUAUACCUCAUAAAGUGGCCAUUAAGUUUAUACUUAUAUGAAGCUAUUCCAUAGCAGCAUUCAUUCAAAACAUUCUGAGCAUGCAACCUCCAAACAUCAAUUUAAACAAUCAUUUAAUAAUA